CCUACGGGAGGCAGCAGUGAGGAAUAUUGGUCAAUGGGCGUAAUCCUGAACCAGCCAAGCCGCGUGAGGGAUGACGGCUCUAUGGUUUGUAAACCUCUUUUGUACGGGAAUAAAGUCCGGGACGCGUCCCGCUUCGCAUGUACCUUAUGAAUAAGGAUCGGCUAACUCCGUGCCAGCAGCCGCGGUAAUACGGAGGAUCCGAGCGUUAUCCGGAUUUAUUGGGUUUAAAGGGUGCGUAGGCGGCCUGUUAAGUUAGCGGUGAAUGUUUGUGGCUCAACCCCAGUAUUGCCGUUGAAACUGGCAGACUUGAGUAUGCUUGAGGUAGGCGGAAUGCGCGGUGUAGCGGUGAAAUGCAUAGAUAUCACGCAGAACCCCGAUUGCGAAGGCAGCGUACCAACCCCUGACUGACGCUGAGGCACGAAAGCGUGGGGAUCGAACAGGAUUAGAUACCCUUGUAGUC
RNAcentral lists this ribosomal RNA (460 nucleotides) under uncultured bacterium. RNAcentral's name for it is "partial 16S ribosomal RNA". It matches the Rfam family "Bacterial small subunit ribosomal RNA", at positions 338 to 795 of the family's 1533-position model. The record is from RNAcentral.